GCUCGGGUGGUGAAAUUGGCAGACACGCCAGACUUAGGAUCUGGUUCCUUCGGGAAUGGGGGUUCGAGUCCCCCCUCGAGCACCA
This 85-nucleotide transfer RNA is filed under the name Puniceicoccales bacterium. Its description in RNAcentral is "tRNA-Leu". It matches the Rfam family "tRNA". Rfam says of the family: Transfer RNA (tRNA) molecules are approximately 80 nucleotides in length. Their secondary structure includes four short double-helical elements and three loops (D, anti-codon, and T loops). Lineage: Bacteria; Pseudomonadati; Verrucomicrobiota; Opitutia; Puniceicoccales. The record is from RNAcentral.